AGUAGGAAUCUUUUGUUGCCGGAAAUUCCCACAGCAAAAGUCAGAUGGAGCAUACACACGGUCGGAAUUUACAUAUGCGGCAUUACUCUGAUGAGCACUUCAACAGAUCAGAUACCAAUCUUUGGGCAGUGAGGGAAUUUAAUCCCUGUUCCUCAGACAGAUGAUGUGCUGUUGAAGAUGAGAACAAAUAGUCAAAUGAUGUUAAAGUGUAUGUGUAGUGGCUUACCUGUGCUGCUUGUGAUGAUAUAGGAGGAAUGCGGUGCCUUGUCUGCUUCAACAACUUAUAUAGUUUGGUAUCAUUAGGUCCUAUAGCAGUAGUUGGAGCUGUGUCAUCCUGAACAAUAUCCAUUCCUGUUGUUAGUGUGCUUUCUUGGGUCUUUCUAGGUUUAAGAUAUUAAAAAUGUAUAAAAAAAAAAACAUGCAUGCUAAAGAAUAUAGUUUGCAUUGAUGAAGACAUUGCAGAGAUACUGGAUGGAUUGCAUGCCUAGCUGAGAGAGCAGAAGUGGCAGAAAAUAAUCUAAAAUACCGUUAUUGAUCAUUCUAUGUUUUUUAUGCAACUGGGCUUCCGACAACCUCUUGUGCAGCUGGUCCUUUGUUCACUCCACAAUUCUUCUCAAGCACAUGGACAACCUUCUCCGUGAUGUCUUUUUCUUGUAUUAGGCCUGGGGUGGUUUUUGUGCCUCCCAUCAUAAUAUUUUUUUUUUUUUUCCAGAAUCUUCACCAUAGUUUUCAUCUCAUCCAGGGGCAUAGGUGUUGCCUUUUUUUUUUUUUUUUUUUUUAAACCUUUGCAGGCUAAAUUGUUCGGGCUCCUUUUCUUCAGCCAUUGUUCUUCUGCUAAAGAUGGUGCAGAAUUAAGAGGGGUGGAGCUUGUAAACUCCCAUAGAGCACCAUGGUACACUCCGACCCGGCACACAGAACAUUGUCAUGUACAAGAACACUGACCAAUCCACAGAAGAUUCGUAACAACUGAAGGUAAGCAGACCAGUACAAUAGUUCUAGGGUAUUGUUUGGUGUAGUUUGGCAACUGAACAAUGAUACAGAUAUUACAAUAUGAUAAUAUAUAUAAAUUAGUAUAUCACUAUAAAUGUGACCAUGUCUAUUAAAAUAGACCAAUUUAAUAAACAAAGUGACUAAAAAAAACAUGUGUGAAUAUGCCAAUAUCACAUAUACAUCUCAGAAAAUGCGUCUGCCAAAUACACAAAAAAGAAUGGUGUAUAAAUUUCCAACUGUGAAGAAAGAAAAAGUGAAGGAAUAAAGUCCCAAAAUAGCAAAAUGGAUAUAAUGCAUAUAAACGGAUAACCCCUAAAUGUUGAAAGGGUUAAACCUAAGAUAGGUCAGUCCUUGUAGAGAUGAUUCCAAAAUGGUGCAAAAGGAGGAACACCUGUGAUAAGAAAACCUUCAUCCACCACUAAGGCACCCAAGAGGUAGUAAUGUUGCCUCCUUACCCCAAAGCUAUGACCGCUGUCACGGCGGUCUCUCCAAACACAGGGAUUUAUGGUCUCCCAAUAGACCCAAAGCUGGUGACCCGAUAACAAAAAUAUGAAUGGUAUUUGAACGGAAUCCCUCUCUCGCUGUGCCAGGUUGCUGCUGAAGGAGUGACAACUCACUAGUUGGUUAAUGUGGGAGUGACAGUUGCUCGUGUGACAUGGUCCUGCCGAUUUCAAGCGCUGUCUGAGCUCCCUAGAGUCAGUCACAGCAGCUGCGGGAUUUAUUAACAAAUCCCUGUGUUUUAUUAACACAUUAAUUCCUUUAAUUAGGAUUUUGAUCACUUAUUAGCACUGUACCCAUCUUUACCAUAUAUUCCAGUUUUGUUUUAAACAUUUUUGGUCCUGGCGGCUUUACCCGUUUUUAAUUUUGGUAUUCAAACAUUUUUUCUUUGUUAUUAUCUAGCGCAUUGUUUUUUUUUUUUUUGUUUUUUUGUUUUUUUUAACUGGACAGUGAAGCAUUGUUUGUUAUUACAGGAGCAAUGGUGGGCAAAUUUACCUCAUAUUUCCUGCCACAAUUCCUUGAAAUGUACCGAGACCUUCCAUGUCUAUGGAAAGUACGCUCCAAAGACUAUUCCGACAGUCAAAAAUGUAAUGAAGCGUAUACUAAAUUAGCGGAACUAUGCACUGUUGUGUAUUCCAAAGCAGAUAUAUCCUAUGUGACCAAAAAUUUUUUAAAUCUGCGUACCAUCUUCAAAAAAAUUGAACAAUAUUAAUGAAUCCAAAAGAUCUGGUGCAGGUGCAGAUCAAGUAUACGUGCCACCUCUGUGGUAUUUUGAGAGUCUGUUUUCUGACUGACCAGGAGGAAGCUUGACCCUCUGUGUCAAUCUUAGACAGUAUCAGUGAAAAUAUUUCGGGAGAUGAAGAAGAUGGAACAUUUGAGGAAAUGGCAGACAGUCAGGAUCUAUUUAGCAAUGAAACACAAACUCACAUCACCACCAGUACGCAGAAAAGACAAGGCAAGAGUCUACAGGCAACUUUCUACUACAAGCAUCUGCAGCGUUAAAUCAGAAGAGGGAUGAAUGUGAUGACCUGGGUGCAUUUACUGCCAAGAAAAUAAGCUGGAUGUCAGAAGACCAAAAACAAUUACUGGAACCAUUACUCAUUCAGCUUCUUAAUAAAGGGUUAAGAGGGGCGCUGACCACAAAUACGCACUUGGCUGAGCACAAAACCACACACACCCAAUCAUCGCAACAACCUCAACAAAUGCAUCGGUGGCACGUACCAUUCACACAGCAGGAUUGUCCACAAAGCAACUGAGGACAUGAUUAUCAGUAAAAAUCUUUGUGAAUCGCAUACAUUUGGUUUAAAAGAUAUUAUGUUUGUCAGUUUGACAUGUUAUGAACUAGUUUGAAUUUACUCCUAUGUUUAGAGCUUCAAAAUUCUAAGUUUAACGAAGAUAGCUGUACAGAGUUUGAGAGUUAAAAAUAAAAGCACUGUGUCAUUACCUUUUUAA
Long non-coding RNA from Rana temporaria (common frog), 2940 nucleotides. RefSeq lists it as uncharacterized. The transcript has 2 exons. Lineage: Eukaryota; Metazoa; Chordata; Amphibia; Anura; Ranidae. The record is from RefSeq and is a predicted model, not a curated record.